CCUACGGGGGGCUGCAGUGAGGAAUAUUGGUCAAUGGCCGUAACGCUGAACGAGCCAAGCCGCGUGAAGGAAGAAGGAUCUAUGGUUUGUAAACUUCUUUUAUAGGCGAAUACGGGUAUCCACGUGUGGAUAUUUGCAUGUACCCUAUGAAUAAGCAUCGGCUAACUCCGUGCCCGCAGCCGCGGUAAUACGGAGGAUGCGAGCGUUAUCCGGAUUUAUUGGGUUUAAAGGGUGCGUAGGUUGUUUUGUAAGUCAGCGAGGAAAGUUUGUCGCUCAACCAUAAACUUGCCGUUGAAACUGGAAGACUUGAGUGUGUUUGAGGUAGGCGGAAUGCGUGGUGUAGCGGUGAAAUGCAUAGAUAUCACGCAGAACUCCGAUUGCGAAGGCAGCUUACUAAGCCAUAACUGACACUGAAGCACGAAAGCGUGGGGAUCAAACAGGAUUAGAUACCCCAGUAGUC
Molecule: ribosomal RNA, 460 nt
Filed under: uncultured bacterium
Lineage: Bacteria
Description: partial 16S ribosomal RNA
Rfam family: Bacterial small subunit ribosomal RNA
Source: RNAcentral